UACAGAGGGGGCAAGCGUUGUUCGGAAUUACUGGGCGUAAAGGGCGCGUAGGCGGUCUUGUAAGUCUUGUGUGAAAUCCCUCGGCUCAACUGAGGAACUGCACGGGAUACUGCGAGACUUGAGUUCGGGAGAGGGAAGCGGAAUUCCGGGUGUAGCGGUGAAAUGCGUAGAUAUCCGGAGGAACACCGGUGGCGAAGGCGGCUUCCUGGACCGAUCACUGACGCUGAGGCGCGAAAGCUAGGGGAGCAAACGGG
This 254-nucleotide ribosomal RNA is filed under the name uncultured bacterium. RNAcentral's name for it is "partial 16S ribosomal RNA". It matches the Rfam family "Bacterial small subunit ribosomal RNA", at positions 524 to 776 of the family's 1533-position model. The record is from RNAcentral.